This 256-nucleotide ribosomal RNA is filed under the name uncultured bacterium. RNAcentral's name for it is "partial 16S ribosomal RNA". It matches the Rfam family "Bacterial small subunit ribosomal RNA", at positions 521 to 776 of the family's 1533-position model. The record is from RNAcentral.
UAAUACAGAGGGUGCAAGCGUUAUUCGGAGUUACUGGGCGUAAAGGGCGCGUAGGCGGCCUGAUAAGUCCGAUGUGAAAGCCCUGGACUCAAUCCAGGAAGUGCAUCGGAUACUGUUAGGCUAGAGUACAGGAGAGGAGAGUGGAAUUCCUGGUGUAGAGGUAAAAUUCGUAGAUAUCAGGAGGAACAACAGUGGCGAAGGCGACUCUCUGGACUGUUACUGACGCUGAGGCGCGAAAGCGUGGGGAGCAAACAGG